UUGUAGAAUGAACCGGCGAGUUACGAUUUGAUGCAAGGUUAAGCAGUAAAUGUGGAGCCGUAGCGAAAGCGAGUCUGAAUAGGGCGUUUAGUAUUUGGUCGUAGACCCGAAACCAGGUGAUCUACCCUUGGUCAGGUUGAAGUUCAGGUAACACUGAAUGGAGGACCGAACCGACUUACGUUGAAAAGUGAGCGGAUGAACUGAGGGUAGCGGAGAAAUUCCAAUCGAACCUGGAGAUAGCUGGUUCUCUCCGAAAUAGCUUUAGGGCUAGCCUCAAGUGAUGAUUAUUGGAGGUAGAGCACUGUUUGGACGAGGGGCCCCUCUCGGGUUACCGAAUUCAGACAAACUCCGAAUGCCAAUUAAUUUAACUUGGGAGUCAGAACAUGGGUGAUAAGGUCCGUGUUCGAAAGGGAAACAGCCCAGACCACCAGCUAAGGUCCCAAAAUAUAUGUUAAGUGGAAAAGGAUGUGGCGUUGCCCAGACAACUAGGAUGUUGGCUUAGAAGCAGCCAUCAUUUAAAGAGUGCGUAAUAGCUCACUAGUCGAGUGACACUGCGCCGAAAAUGUACCGGGGCUAAACAUAUUACCGAAGCUGUGGAUUGUCCUUUGGACAAUGGUAGGAGAGCGUUCUAAGGGCGUUGAAGCAUGAUCGUAAGGACAUGUGGAGCGCUUAGAAGUGAGAAUGCCGGUGUGAGUAGCGAAAGACGGGUGAGAAUCCCGUCCACCGAUUGACUAAGGUUUCCAGAGGAAGGCUCGUCCGCUCUGGGUUAGUCGGGUCCUAAGCUGAGGCCGACAGGCGUAGGCGAUGGAUAACAGGUUGAUAUUCCUGUACCACCUAUA
This 839-nucleotide ribosomal RNA is filed under the name Staphylococcus aureus. RNAcentral describes it as "partial 23S ribosomal RNA". It matches the Rfam family "Bacterial large subunit ribosomal RNA", at positions 608 to 1452 of the family's 2925-position model. The record is from RNAcentral. Lineage: Bacteria; Bacillati; Bacillota; Bacilli; Caryophanales; Staphylococcaceae.